This 1078-nucleotide ribosomal RNA is filed under the name uncultured organism. Its description in RNAcentral is "bacterial SSU rRNA". It matches the Rfam family "Bacterial small subunit ribosomal RNA", at positions 89 to 1207 of the family's 1533-position model. The record is from RNAcentral.
UGGCGAGCGGGAACGGCUGAGUAACACGUAGUACCUGCCCCAACUCAGGGAUAAGCCUUGGAAACGAGGUCUAAUACCGGAUGUCCCAGUAACGGGAAAGAUUUUAUCGGUUUGGGAGGGGCUUGCGACGUAUCACGCUUGUUGGUGAGGUAACUGCUCACCAAGGCUAUGACGCGUAUCUGGUGUGAGAGCACGACCAGACAGAGUGGGACUGAGACACGGCCCACACUCCUACGGGAGGCAGCAGUGAGGAAUUUCCACAAUGGGCGAAAGCCUGAUGGAGCAAUCUCACGUGGAGGAUGACACCUCUCGGGGCGUAAACUCCUUUUCUGAGGGAAGAAGUUCUGACGGUACCUCAGGAAUAAAGGGCGGCUAAUUCCGUGCCAGCAGCCGCGGUAAUACGGAAGCCCUAAGCGUUAUCCGGAAUCACUGGGCGUAAAGCGAUCGAAGGUGGACCAGUUAGUCUGACAUCAAAUCCCUGCGGCUCAACCGAGGGUUCGUGUCGGAAACUGCUGGACUAGAGGAAUGCAGAGGAAACUGGAAUUUCUGUUGUAGGGGUAAAAUCCGUAGAUAACAGAAGGAACACCAAAAGCGAAGGCAGGUUUCUGGGCAUUUCCUGACGCUGUGCGAUCGAAAGCGUGGGGAGCGAAAGGGAUUAGAUACCCCUGUAGUCCACGCCGUAAACGAUGGAUACUCGGUGUAGGUAAGUUCAAUCCUUAUCUGUGCCCUAAGCUAACGCGAUAAGUAUCCCGCCUGGGGAGUACGGUCGCAAGACUAAAACUCAAAGGAAUAGACGGGGAUCCACACAAGCGGUGGAGCAUUCUGGUUUAAUUCGAUAAUAAGCGGAGAACCUUACCAGGACUUGACAUCCCGAGAAUGUUCUAGAAAUAGAAAAGGUGCCUUUUUAAGGAAUUCGGUGACAGGUGUUGCAUGGUUGUCGUCAGCUCGUGCCUUGAGGUGUGCGGUUAAGUCCGUGAACGAGCGCAACCCUCGUCGUACGUUGUAUUUUUCGUGCGAGACUGCCCGUUUUACGCGGGAGGAAGGUGAGGAUGACGUCAAAUCAGCAUGACCCUUAUGU